This 1219-nucleotide ribosomal RNA is filed under the name Phocaeicola dorei. RNAcentral describes it as "Bacteroides dorei partial 23S ribosomal RNA". It matches the Rfam family "Bacterial large subunit ribosomal RNA", at positions 740 to 1965 of the family's 2925-position model. Lineage: Bacteria; Pseudomonadati; Bacteroidota; Bacteroidia; Bacteroidales; Bacteroidaceae. The record is from RNAcentral.
CCAGGUGGAAGGUGCGGUAAAACGCACUGGAGGACCGAACCCACGUACGUUGAAAAGUGCGGGGAUGAGGUGUGGGUAGCGGAGAAAUUCCAAACGAACUUGGAGAUAGCUGGUUCUCUCCGAAAUAGCUUUAGGGCUAGCCUCGGAAUUGAGAAUGAUGGAGGUAGAGCACUGUUUGGACUAGGGGCCCAUCUCGGGUUACCGAAUUCAGAUAAACUCCGAAUGCCAUUCAUUCAUAUCCGGGAGUCAGACUGUGAGUGAUAAGAUCCAUAGUCGAAAGGGAAACAGCCCAGACCACCAGCUAAGGUCCCAAAAUAUAUGUUAAGUGGAAAAGGAUGUGGGGUUGCACAGACAACUAGGAUGUUGGCUUAGAAGCAGCCAUCAUUUAAAGAGUGCGUAAUAGCUCACUAGUCGAGUGACCCUGCGCCGAAAAUGUACCGGGGCUAAACAUAUUACCGAAGCUGUGGAGUACACCUUUAGGUGUAUUGGUAGGAGAGCGUUCUAAGGGCGUCGAAGGCAGAUCGUGAGGACUGCUGGAGCGCUUAGAAGUGAGAAUGCCGGUAUGAGUAGCGAAAGACAGGUGAGAAUCCUGUCCACCGAAUGACUAAGGUUUCCUGGGGAAGGCUCGUCCGCCCAGGGUUAGUCGGGACCUAAGCCGAGGCCGAUAGGCGUAGGCGAUGGAUAACAGGUUGAUAUUCCUGUACCCGUUGUUUUUGUUUGAGCAAUGGAGGGACGCAGGAGGCUAAGGAAUGCAGACGAUCGGAAAUGUCUGUCCAAGCAGUAAGUCUGAAGAGGAGUCAAAUGCUUCUUUUCUUAAGGACAAGCUGUGAUGGGGAGGGAAAUAAUAGUACCGAAGUUCCUGAUGUCACACUGCCGAGAAAAGCUUCUAGUGAGAAAACAGCGGCCCGUACCGCAAACCGACACAGGUAGUCGAGGAGAGAAUCCUAAGGUGAGCGAGAGAACUCUCGUUAAGGAACUCGGCAAAAUGACCCCGUAACUUCGGGAGAAGGGGUGCUGAUCAUACGAUCAGCCGCAGUGAAUAGGCCCAAGCGACUGUUUAUCAAAAACACAGGUCUCUGCAAAAUCGUAAGAUGAAGUAUAGGGGCUGACGCCUGCCCGGUGCUGGAAGGUUAAGAGGAGUGCUUAGCGCAAGCGAAGGUACGAAUUGAAGCCCCAGUAAACGGCGGCCGUAACUAUAACGGUCCUAAGGUAGCGAAAU